GUGGUCCUGAAGGGGGCGCUGGAGGCAUAGUGGUAGAUGAUGGGCAGGAAGGUCAAGGAGAGGUCUAGAGGGGACACUAAAGUAACAAAGGAGGAGGUGGAGGGAAGCCGACCUGGAGACUAUGGGAGUACCGACAAGGUCAGUGCUUCAGAGCAAAAUCCUGCAAGAGGUGAGGAGGCCUGUGUUUAGGGGGUGCUGGGUGGCGGAAUGGGGUUCCGAAGGAAUCUUGCGAUGUAAGUUGGAGAGCCAUAAACCUCGUGGGCACAGGAGUGAUACAGGCGCUGUGAGGGGAGACAGAGGAACUAGGGAGGCCAGAGGGAGAUGGAUGGAGACAAGGAAAUUCCAUUGAAAUUUUGGAAUAUUGGAAAGUUGUAAAACAUAUCUUAAAAAAAAAAAAUCAGCGGGCCUCAAAUGUGUCGUCUUCGACCUUGUGUUCAUCUUCAACCCACCUGCAGCCUUUACUCAAGCAGCUCCAGGUGCCAUCGGACGGGUGGAGCCAGGGCAGACGCUCAGAGAUGGAAGGCAGGAGGCACAUGCGUGGGACCAUAGGUCCCGUUCAGGUCUUUCCACUUGAUAAUGUUCUCAACAGAAGCAUUCUUUGUGGGCAGGUGGGUGAUGAAGUGAGUGGAUGGAAAAGAGAACGGAAAUUGGGGGGUGAUGGUUUGCAGUGCAAACCCCAAGGUCAACAGGACCUUCCCUCAGAACCCCUCACAAUCCUCGGAGUUUUUUUUUUUUUUUUUUUUUUUUUUUCUUGCAUUUCCACAGCUAGGUGUUUUGUUUUGCCGCUGUAAAGGUAUGGCUCUCAACAUUUAGCACAUUUCAAAACUGUAAUCUAGUUUGUUGGUUGUGAAUAAAAUACAUUUGUAUGUUGGGGUAAGUCUCAAAGGAGAGCACACAGUUUGAGGAACAGGCUUAAAAAAAAAAGUGACCUACCCCGUUUUCAUAGUCUUGAUUCAAGCACACUCCCUAACACACCUGGGUGUGGACCGCCCUCGUAUCUGCAGCCAAGGAGUUUUUCCACGUCUACACGGAUGCUUUCUCUCUCAACCUGUUCCCCCGGCACUUCCUCAGAGCUGUUUGUCUCUUUUGCAUAUGUUAUAUACGCAAAGAUUUUUUUUUUUAAAUUCUAAUAGUGCUCAAGACAAUUUUAACAGAAAUUCUCAUACCAUUCAUGAGUUAGAUUUGUGGGCUUUCUCCUCACAUCUGAGAUUUGUGUGGGGGGAGUGUGUCUGUGUGUGUGGUGUGUUUGUGUGUGUUAUGAGUCUCUCUCUCUCUCUCUCUCUCUCUCUCUCUCGUGCGUGUGUGUGCGUGUGAAUGCUGGAACUUGAGCUGGGAAGAUAAAUAUUUGGAGAGCCUAGUGAAGAGUGCUAUAAGAACUUUUUAAAAGAAUCACUUAGAUGACUUUUUCUGCUUGAAGAGUAUGCACUUGUUCAGGGUCUUCAUGGGUAAUUUUGCAGCUAGAGGAUUUCCUUAGGAUAUACAUUAUAGAUUGAUAUUGAAAUUUAAAAAAAAAUUAAAAACUCCACUGCAACUCUCUCUCUCGACUAUAGCCCAGCUGAACUAUUUUUUCAUUAUUGUUUUUCAUUAAUUAUUUAUUUUGAGUCAGGGUCUCCAAGUGGUGGGAAGAACCUGAGGCAGCCUAACCCUUUCUGUGGUUCACUCAGGAUUUUCUCUUUGUCUGCUUGUUGUUUUGAGAGAGUCUCAUGUAGCCCAGGCUGGCCUAAGGUGCUCAAUCCUACUUCAGUCCCCCUGGUUCUGGGAUUAUAGGGGUGUCCUGCCACAUUCAGAAAACUUACAUUUUUGAGGAGUGGACUCCAGGUUCAUGCUAAACAAGUGCUCCACCACUGAGAUAUGCCAGAGGCUGUUGCAUUUGUUUGUUUUUUUCACAGAGUUCUUGCUGUGUAGACUAGGCUAGCUCUGAAUUUCUCUAUCUUCCUGCCUCAGUUCCCUGUGCUAGGAUUACAAUCGUUUACCUCCUGGCCUAGCUUGCUUUCCAUUCUUCUAAAUGGCUCCAGGGGGCAGAAAAAUGGCCCAGCAGGUAAAGGGCUUGUCACCAAGCCUUCUUACAGAAGUUUGAUCCCUGGAACCUAUAUGAGGAAAAGAGAAAAUUGGUUUUUUUUUUCUUCACCUUUGUUUUUUCUUCUUGCUUUUUUAUUCCUUAAAAAAUAUUCAUUUUAUUUUGUGUAUGCAUUUUGUCUGCAUGUAUAUAUGUGCGCCUGUGUAUGUCUAGUGCCUGGGGAGACCAGAGAGGGUCUUCAGAAUCCCUGGAACUGGAAUUAGGGAUGCUUGUGAGAUGCCAUGUGGGUGCUGAAAACUGAACCUGGAUCCUCUGCAAUAUCAAAAAAGUGUUCAUAGUCUAUGAGCCAUUUCUCCAUCCUGCUCUCUCUUUUGAGAUAAGGUUUCAUGUAACCCAAGAUGGCCAUGUGCCUGAGGAUGACCUUGAACCGGUGAGCCUCCUGUCUCUACUUCUUGAGUGCUGAAAUUACUGGUUUGUGCCAGUGUACUCAAGCUCAAGUGCAGAUAUAGGUAGAGAUAGAUACAGAUAUAUGAAUGAGACAUAGGCCAGUGAGAGGAGGGAUAUGGGAAGGGAAAUGAGGUAGAACGAGAGGAGCAGAGUGGGAGUUUCAUAAAAGGAGAAAGCUGAAUUGUUAGCAUACUUUUGGGGAAAAAAACUUUCAUUUACAUUUAUUAUAUCUUUUUCUCCCUACUCCACCCCGAUGCCUUCCAACACCUCACCACCAAGUCGGAGAGAGAAAGGGUUAGUGAGAGAGGGGGUGUAAUUUUCUUUCUUAGCUGCUUCCUGCUGGUUAGGGUUGUUGGGUUCCUUGGAGCCAGUCCAGUCCUUGUUUUAGGAGAUCUAAAACUUCUUGUUUGACAACAGCAACCAGGAGCAGCAAGGGGGAAGCAGGAACAGCCUUGCUCUUUCUACCUGCACCACACUCUCUGGGCUCUGGCAUUUAUUCUCUCUCCAGGGUCCUCAGAUUUAAACUACUUGCAGCUGGCAAGGAGCUCCCCUCUGAGCCUGCAAGGAGCUCCUCUCUGAGCCUGCAUGAGGCAAACUGUCUGCUGCUGUGAGCUAUCUGAAUCAGUCCCACAUCCCACACCUGGGAUCCAAACAAAAACAUCUUUACAUCCACAACACUGAACUGGGAAUAAGGAGCUGAAGAGAGGCUCCAAAGAUGGAGGUGGGACAAGCCCUCCCUGUUCUGAUUUUGCUUGUAGUCCUGGAGACGGUAUUUGGAAGGGGGCACCUCUAAAAGCUGUGCUGGUUUUCUGCUGGUGGGCCUGAGAACUCAGGAACUUUAGCACAGUGAGGUGUGACCUCAGUUUGUACUCACACCCCCAUAAAGCCCUGGCUGUCCUGGAACUUGCUCUGUAGACCAGGCUAGCCUCAGACUCACAGAAAUCCUCCUGCCUCUACCUCCCUUUAGACACCCCACAGCAUCUUUGUCUUAAAUACUAGGUAAUGUUUACUUGUUUCUUGAUGCUAAGAAUAUUAUAUAAAAGUAUGUUUAAUGUCCCUAAACAUUAUAUUUAAUUUAACACGCUCAUUUUAAUAUACAUUGUAAUUAAGAUAAGAAAAAAUAUACGCAUGCAAACACAGCUGCACAUGAUAUGCAAAUGUAUACCUGCUGGUGAAAAUUCAAGUGCGUAUUUGCAUGUGUUAUAGAAAAAUAUAUUUGCAUGUGAUAGCCAUGUGUAUGCAUGCGUGUAUGCUCCCUAUCUAUGCUGUGUGGGGUGAGUAGAAAGCUCUAGGUGGGCAGGAAUCUCUUGCACCUUCACCUGACUGGCCCUGGCAGCUGUUGCUGGAGAAGACCGGCCCUAGAGAUAGUCCUCUAGCUUUUUGUGAUUCCUUCUUGCCACCUUGCUAACCCAUAUGAAGGGUGCAUAUGAUUUGCAUAUAAUCUGCAUAUCUUACAAGUUUACAGGCUGUCAUGGUGGGUAUGUUCUUAUUACCAUAUAGUGGUGAAACCUUCCAGUGCUUUUGACUUCGUCCAACAGCUGUUCCUUUGGCAUUGGUAGUGACCCUGGGGUAUGCUUUAAGGGACUUUAUCGUUGGAAAGUGGGUACCCAGAAGGCUUUUAUGAGGGGAGCUCUGGCAUCCAGUGCUUCCAACUUGGACCUGUGGGUACCAUUUCCCAAGAUGGACUUAGGCUAUGUAAAAGCUGGAAAGAAUUAAACACCUAAGGAGGCAGCUGUGUGGGCUGGGGCUCUCACAGAACUGCCCAGACUGUGUGUGCGGCUUUCAUCACCUGCUAGUGUCUACAGAAAGAGUUGGCACAUUGCCUGUUAUUUUGUCACAUCGGGGCUGGAGAUCAAACUCCCCAGUUUUCUCCUGCAUGGUUAAUCACUUCUGUAUCUAUUUCUUGUUACUCUGAAGCUGAAUUAGCAAUGGGUGUGAAGAUUAUUACUUAAUCUAUACUUCCAUGGAAAAUUUGAUCCUUCUAAGUGUAGAAGAUAAUUUGUACCAAACAAAACAAAACAAAAUAGCUUUUGUCCAAAAUGUUCCUGGGGUCACUCUGAUUUCAGCCAAUUGCCCAGGAGUGAUUGCGUUGGCACGUGUCAGUGGCCUGUUAGGCAAGCAUUGUUUUUAAUACCUGCCAUUAUACUUUGAACUUUGACACGGACAUGGAGGGAAUGUACUGACUUCAUGGGCAACUCAGCACUGCCUUGGACUUGGACACUCAUGGGGACUUUGGGGACAAACAAAGCAACAGAUUCUCAAAACCAGAAAGUUCGUGAGUUGAAGAGGCGGUGCACAGGAGGAACUGUUACAUAAAAGUGUCUCUGGUUUCCAGAACUUUCCAGAACUUCACUGGUGAAGCCUCCAUGUUAUCCUGUUGACAGCUGGAGAAGGAAGGCUCUGUUACAUUCAGCCUGAUAGACCCUGCUGAUAAGCAGCCUUGAGAGGGGUUUUCCAGCCCACACCUGAUAGAAAGUUUCAGUAUAGGGGUGCUGAAGGGGAUCAUGCCGGGGUGCUGAAGCAAUCCCUAUUCGCCUUUGACUGGUACAAAGAAAGAAUGAGGCGCGCUGUAAGGACUUUGAGGCCCCUGAAGUAAAGUAGAACCCCCCAUUCUGUUGUGGGCGGCCUCAGUGCUUCAGGAACAGCAAGUGGCAUUUCUCAAGAAGAUGGAAUUUUCCUACUCUGUUGGCAGUAACAUCCGGGUGACACGUGUGCCACUCCUGUGCCAGGUGAGUAUCUAAGUGCAGGAGACAGUCUUCAGAUGUUUGCCAAGAAAGCACGCCCAAGAAGAGACAGGAACAAUCACCUUUUCUGGUUUUGUUUUGGUUCAUUUGAGACAAGAGCUUGCUCUGUCAUCCAGGAUGGCCUUUAACACCUAAUCCUUCUGCCCCAGCCUCCCUUAUGCUGAGAUCACAGGUGUAAACCUAGCUCAGGAAUGCAGCUGUCCGAAAUCUGGUUCUGAGUAGCUUUUCCCACCCCACCCCCUCAGCACUAGGGAUCAAGUCUAGGACUUUUCACUUGGUAGGUAAGUGCUCUACCAGUGAACUGCUCCACCGGCUUCUCCUGGUUCGGAGGCUUCAUAUUUGUGAGGACUGCGUGGUGGUCUGGCUUCUCUGUACUCUUAAUGGAGUGUAUUAUAUUAUCUGUAUGUAAUAUGCACCUUAAAACGUUAACUGCCAGACUUGUAAAAGUUAUAAGACUGUAUACUCUAAUCAAACAGUGUGAAAUCUGGUUCCCAGGGAGAAGCUGCCAGAACAUUCUUAGCCAACCUCUGCUGCUGAAAGCACCCUUCACUUUUUUUUUUCCCACAUGUGUGGGUGUUUUGCCUGCAUGUAUGUCUGUAUACUAAUUGUGUGCCUGCCCACAGAGUCCAGAAGAGGGCACAGGAUUCCAUGAAAGUGGAGUUAUAGAUAGUUAUGAGAAGCUGUGUGUGUGGAUGCUGGGAAUCGAACCCAGGUCCUCUGAAAGAGCAGCCAAUGUUCUUAACCACUUAGCUCCUGAAGGCACCUUUGGCUUUUUAUGGACGUGAGUUCCAAAGUCAGUUGCAGAGGAGAAUACUAAGCCCCAGUCUGGGAAGGGGGAGGGGAGAGAGAAUUCACCUCUUGUGAAGGACACAUUCAGGAGGAUAAAGGGUUGCGAGACAUACAUUCUCUCAGGACAGCAAACAGCCUUUUGUCUGGCUUCCUCUUGUCAGAGCUUGCCAAGAAGUUGGGAAAAAAAGAAAGGUCCAGAAGACAGCUGAGCCUGGCCACACCUUCCAAGGAGAGAGUGGCUCAGUUCAGCUUCCCUCUGCACUUUUCUUGGCAAUAUGAUUGUCCCGAUUUUGACACUGCCCAGGUGGGCUUUCAGAUGUGGCUUAGUUAAGUACUUGCUUAGCUUGCACAAGCCCCUGGCUCCCAUCACUAGUAGGGUGCAAGCCAGAUGUGAUAGUACACACCUGUGAUCCCAGCAUGCAGGAGGUGGAGACAGGAGGAUCUGAAGUUCAAGGUUAUUCUCUGGCACAUGGCAAGUUCCAGGCCAGUCUGGGCCACAUGAGACCCUGUCUCAAAAAAAAAAAAACAGAAGAGGAGGAAGAGGGCCAUACCAGCUUAUUUCUUUCUCUCUCAGUGUGUGUGUGUGUGUGUGUGUGUGUGUGUGUGUGUGUGUGUGUGUAGAAAAGGGGAGAGAGGGGCCAGGGCAAGGGAAGACAGGAAGCUUGGUACAGUGUGUUAGCUAACACACUGCUCUGGUUGGCUCCUGUAAGUGCGACACACAAGGCUGACACACAGGCUCGGGGGAGUGUGUGAGGUGUGUGUAUGUAUACACGAACUUGAGUGCAAGAUCUCUGGCAGUCAGGAUGCAGAUCAGUCCUGCAAAGCUUGUGUCACACUGCCCUGCCCACCUUCACUCUCUUCCUCAAUCCCAGUGAAGGGCGAGAGGUUCUGACCCUCCUGGGACCCGGCUGAGGUCUUAGGAGAACACUGGCUGCUUUCACAGAUUCACAUGGGAGGCCUCCACCUGUCUCGUCUGGACCCGAGGGCCUGGGGUGCCAGUACUAGAACCCUAGCCCAUGCCGCCGCUGGUGGAGACCGUUCUGAUUUUAAUCCCGAGGACGCUUACUCCAAAGUCAUUCUGCUCCACACAGCCACUGGGGGCCCAGGUUCUGCAGGGGCAGACAUUGUCUGAGGUGUCAUUUCAAGGCUAGAGCCAGGGUGUCUGUAGAGAGCCCCACUCAUGCAGGUAGAGAACCCCUGGGCCCCUCUGGUCUGAUCCCCUUCCCCUUGCAGCAUGGGGGAUGGUGGGGUGUCCUCAGUCCUUAGUUGCAUUGCUUGGUUAAACGUGACACCACAAAGGAGCCUGCGCUGUGGCUAAAUGAUGUACUUCUAAAUCUAAGAUAAAGGUGUUGAAGUAGCUUCUCUGGAGGGACCAGGCAAGUCACUGUCUUUGGAUGAAGGACGGUGGAGUUUUGUUCAUGGUAACACUCAGUUUUGGGUCCAGUAGACUCAGGAGAGGGGCGCUUCAGGUGUUUCUGGGUGCACAAGUCAAGUCACCCCAGUUUAAAACUGGUGACAACUUAAAAGAAGGUCAAAUGUUCUUGCCAACGGAGCGAGAGACCGGUGGAGCUGAUCUGGUGUGAGCCUGCAGGCGACCUGUGCUCUGGAUGUUUGUUCGCUGACCCUCAUUUUUCCGUUCUAGGUUCCAGAAUCCGAAGAGCAGGAGGAAGCUGAGUGGUGACACUUGGAAGUGCUUUAGUCAUUCAUUAAGUUGUUGCUUUUCUCAAGUGGGUGUUGUGGCAACUUUAAUGAUUAACAGUGUGCAGUGCUCUGGAGCCUGCCAGCGGGAUGCUGGGGUCUGCUGCCUUGGUUUACCCCCUGGGGAUAUGGGAUGGACAUAGUGUGCUGGGUACCUGGCCUCUACCUAGACUGACUGCAGAGCUAAGUCCAGGUCUAGCCCUGUGUGUGCUGUUCUCACCACCCAGCCCUCUCCAGGCCAGCACUCUGGUACGACCUGUUGGCCUUCAUGAUUUCUAUCACCUUAAUCAAUCCUGACUUGGGGGAUCCAGGUCAUUGUCCCACUGACUGCCCACUCCCAGCAGAGCACAAAUGUCGAGACAGGAACAGCAAGACAGCCUCUGGCAAUUUCAGUUCCAAGCGCUAGGUGGUGGGUUGUGUUGUUAGGGGCAGAUCAGAACUCUGACGUCCUCAGGGACACUCCCAGAAUAAGACUCUCACUGCUGUGAAGUAGUGUAGGCUAGGAGAAGCACAGAGCUCUAGGGAUUUGCUUGUCUACCUACCUUGUGCUGAGCUUACAAGGAUGCCGCCAUACCUGGCUCUUUAAAUGUGGCUGUGGGUUUGAACUCAGAUUCUCCUGCUUGCAUGACAAGUAUUUUAUUGACUGAACCAUCUCCCCAGCCUCCUACAAGAAAUAUUUUAAUAAGCCCUAAGACAGCUGAUUGUGGCCAUCUUUCUCCAGUACUCAAGGACUGACAUUGGUAUGUAUGUGAGUACACACACACACACACACACACACACACACACACACACACACACACACAAACACACACUGUGAGGGUUUCUUCUUGGAUAAGCACCUGUCUCUUUUUAUGAAUCGACCUCUAAAACUACUUUAAGGACCCUGUAAAUCACCCUCCCAUGUCAGCUUGGCCACCUGAGAGUGCUGAAUGCACACCCCUGCCUCCUUCCCACCUCAGAGCCCGUAGGAGGUUGGAGAAGAAACAAGGUCUAGCUCCUGCAAGCAUGGACCUUAGGAAAAGGCUUGGGCUUGGCAGGAGAACGCUGGAGGAAUAUAAGCCAGGGGAGCAUUUUAGAAACUUCUUUGGAUGGAAGACAUGGCUCAGUGGUUAAGAGUGUAUACUGUGGGCUGGAGAGAUGGCUCAGAGGUUAAGAGCACUGGCUGUUCUCCCAAAGUUCCUGAGUUCAAUUCCCAGCAACCACAUGGUGGCUUAUAACCAUCUAUAGUGAGAUCUGGUGUUCUCUUCUUGCCUGCAGAUGCAGGCAGAAUACUGUAUAAAUAAUAAUAAAUAAAUCUUUGGAAACUUUUAUUAAAAAAAGAAA
Molecule: long non-coding RNA, 9018 nt
Organism: Psammomys obesus (fat sand rat)
Lineage: Eukaryota; Metazoa; Chordata; Mammalia; Rodentia; Muridae
Exons: 2
Source: RefSeq, a predicted model, not a curated record